Molecule: non-coding RNA, 162 nt
Filed under: Candidatus Omnitrophota bacterium
Lineage: Bacteria; Pseudomonadati; Candidatus Omnitrophota
Description: Candidatus Omnitrophica bacterium 6S RNA
Rfam family: 6S / SsrS RNA
About the family: E. coli 6S RNA was the first non coding RNA to be sequenced, but its function was unknown until recently. It consists of 184 nucleotides that fold into an extended hairpin structure with a large single-stranded internal bulge. The 6S RNA specifically associates with RNA polymerase holoenzyme containing the sigma70 specificity factor.
Source: RNAcentral
AAAUCCCUGCGGUGCGCGCGAUUUUGAUCGAAUAAUCUUGAACCUUUAGCACUAAAAUAGGGAGCCUAACUGAAUGCGCGCUUUGGCGUGCGAUCGAGGGCACCCACCUGUUAGACACAGGAUCAAGAUCAUUCAUAUCUCAACGCCACUUGCGGGGAUUUU